AUCAAGAAAAAGAAUUCUGAGAGUGAUGGUCAGCCAUAUAGAAGAAUACAUUGAACCUAUAGUUUUCUGAAGAACCAGUUCAAAAGAUCCAAAAAAUACAAAAGGAGAAGUACAAAUGUCUACCACAAGACGAAAACGUAAUAUGUUAUGUUGUUUACCGUAAGCUGUAGUAAAAUGAGCUCAAUUGUUGACAGGUAUGUUUU
This 203-nucleotide long non-coding RNA is filed under the name Ursus americanus (American black bear). RNAcentral describes it as "lncRNA (ENSUAMG00000006344.1)". The record is from RNAcentral. Lineage: Eukaryota; Metazoa; Chordata; Mammalia; Carnivora; Ursidae.